RNAcentral lists this ribosomal RNA (478 nucleotides) under uncultured bacterium. RNAcentral's name for it is "partial 16S ribosomal RNA". It matches the Rfam family "Bacterial small subunit ribosomal RNA", at positions 28 to 507 of the family's 1533-position model. The record is from RNAcentral.
GAUGAACGCUGGCGGCGUGCUUAACACAUGCAAGUCGAACGAUAAAUGUAGACGGAACCCUUCUGGCUGAAGCCUGCAUGUCGAGUUGCGGAGGGGGGAGUAACGCGUGGGUAGCCUGCCUCAUACAGGGGGCUAAAACUUGGACACGACUGCUAAUACUGCAUAAGAAUAACUCAUCGAAUGAUGCGGGUGUAACAACACCAGUGGUAAGAGAUGGAUACGCGUUCGUUGAGGCGGUUGGGGCGGUACCGGACCACCAAAGAGACGAUCGAUAGCCGAGAUGGGAGGAUGACCGGCAACACUAGGACUGAGAGACGGCCGGAACUCCUACGGAAGGAAGCAGUGGGGAAUAUUGCACGAUGGGGGAGACACUGAUGCAGCGACGCCGCGUGAGUGAAGAAGUACUGCGGUAUGUAAAGCUCUAUCAGAAGGGAAGAAAAUGACGGUACCUGAGUAAGAAGCCCCGGCUAACUACGUG